Molecule: long non-coding RNA, 557 nt
Organism: Eutrema salsugineum
Lineage: Eukaryota; Viridiplantae; Streptophyta; Magnoliopsida; Brassicales; Brassicaceae
Exons: 4
Source: RefSeq, a predicted model, not a curated record
ACGGCACUGCUUGGAAAGUUAGUUUGUGUUUGGGUAGUCGUUACUCAUGUGGGAUUUAGGGUUUUACAUGUUUGGUAUGAUUCCUUUCGAUUAAUUUGUUAUUUUACAGGAAGACUUCGAUGUUUGCUUCAGUUAAAGCCAUAUAUCCACUGCUCUCUAGCAGCCGCAGCUUGACGCUCUCCGGCGGGUAAUUUGCGGUUUUCGGAAUAUCCGAAAAUGCCUACCGUGAGUGUUGACAGAGACCAUUUAUUCGCUGCCCUUGGAGAAAUUUACGUUUGUUGCAGGAGGAAGCUGAUUUUGUUGAUAAUAUCGAAGAAGAGGUUUCAGAGAGCAUAGUUUGUUGCUUUUGAAGCUAAUGGCCUAGAGAGGAUACCUUCUGCAGUGUCACUAGCCACUUCACUGGUUCCAGAUGUUUUCUCGAAGUUGGUUUGAUUUAAUAUUAGUAUAUCUUAUCUUCUUAGUAUUAGUAUGUAUUAGUGUAUCUUUGUGAUCUAGGUUUUGUAAUAAUACUUUGAUUACUAUAAUAGUAUUAUUGAUUACUUUUGUUUUUGUGAUAA